UACGAAGGGGGCUAGCGUUGCUCGGAAUCACUGGGCGUAAAGCGCACGUAGGCGGACUCUUAAGUCGGUGGUGAAAUCCUGGAGCUCAACCCCGGAACUGCCUCCAAAACUGCUGGUCUGGAGGUCGAGAGAGGCGAGUGGAAUUCCGAGUGUAGAGGUGAAAUUCGUAGAUAUUCGGAGGAACACCAGUGGCGAAGGCGGCUCGCUGGCUCGAUACUGACGCUGAGGUGCGAAAGCGUGGGGAGCAAACAGG
This 253-nucleotide ribosomal RNA is filed under the name uncultured bacterium. Its description in RNAcentral is "partial 16S ribosomal RNA". It matches the Rfam family "Bacterial small subunit ribosomal RNA", at positions 524 to 776 of the family's 1533-position model. The record is from RNAcentral.